AUACGUAGGUGGCAAGCGUUGUCCGGAAUGAUUGGGCGUAAAGGGCGCGUAGGCGGCCCGGUAAGUCUGGAGUGAAAGUCCUGUUUUUAAGAUGGGAAUUGCUUUGGUUACUGUCGGGCUUGAGUGCAGGAGAGGUAAGUGGAAUUCCCAGUGUAGCGGUGAAAUGCGUAGAGAUUGGGAGGAACACCAGUGGCGAAGGCGACUUACUGGACUGUACCUGACGCUGAGGCGCGAAAGCGUGGGUAGCGAACGGGAUUAGAUACCCCGGUAGUCCACGCUGUAAACGAUGAAUACUAGGUGUAGGAGGUAUCGACCCCUUCUGUGCCGCAGUUAACACAAUAAGUAUUCCGCCUGGGGAGUACGAUCGCAAGAUUGAAACUCAAAUGAAUUGACGGGG
RNAcentral lists this ribosomal RNA (397 nucleotides) under uncultured bacterium. RNAcentral describes it as "partial 16S ribosomal RNA". It matches the Rfam family "Bacterial small subunit ribosomal RNA", at positions 523 to 918 of the family's 1533-position model. The record is from RNAcentral.